Molecule: ribosomal RNA, 425 nt
Filed under: uncultured bacterium
Lineage: Bacteria
Description: bacterial SSU rRNA
Rfam family: Bacterial small subunit ribosomal RNA
Source: RNAcentral
GGGGAAUAUUGGACAAUGGGGGGAACCCUGAUCCAGCAAUGCCGCGUGUGUGAAGAAGGCCUGCGGGUUGUAGAGCACUUUCAGUGGGGAGGACGAUUGUUUGGUUAAGAGCUGAGCGAGAAGACGUUACCCACAGAAGCAGCACCGGCUAACUCCGUGCCAGCAGCCGCGGUAAUACGGAGGGUGCAAGCGUUAAUCGGAAUUACUGGGCGUAAAGGGUGCGUAGGUUGUUGAAUAAGUUAUCUGUGAAAUCCCUGGGCUCAACCUGGGCAGGUCAGAUAAAACUGUUUGACUCGAGUAAAGGAGAGGGUAGAGGAAUUUCCGGUGUAGCGGUGAAAUGCGUAGAGAUCGGAAGGAACAUCGGUGGCGAAGGCGUCUACCUGGCCUAUUACUGACACUGAGGCACGAAAGCGUGGGGAGCAAAC